RNAcentral lists this non-coding RNA (65 nucleotides) under Solirubrobacterales bacterium. RNAcentral's name for it is "Fluoride sequence". It matches the Rfam family "Fluoride riboswitch aptamer (crcB RNA motif)". Lineage: Bacteria; Bacillati; Actinomycetota; Thermoleophilia; Solirubrobacterales. The record is from RNAcentral.
CCUGUUCCGAGCGAUGGGGCUCGCUCCAUAACCGCGGCGCGACCGUUGAUGGCUCCUACCGACGU